UACGUAGGGGGCAAGCGUUGUCCGGAUUUAUUGGGCGUAAAGAGCGUGUAGGCGGCCCGGUAAGUCCGCUGUGAAAGUCCAGGGCUCAACCCUGGGAUGCCGGUGGAUACUGUCGGGCUCGAGUCCGGAAGAGGAGUGUGGAAUUCCUGGUGUAGCGGUGAAAUGCGCAGAUAUCAGGAGGAACACCAAUGGCGAAAGCACUCUGCUGGGCCGACACUGACACUGAGAGACGAAAGCUAGGGGAGCGAAUGGG
Molecule: ribosomal RNA, 253 nt
Filed under: uncultured bacterium
Lineage: Bacteria
Description: partial 16S ribosomal RNA
Rfam family: Bacterial small subunit ribosomal RNA
Source: RNAcentral